This 478-nucleotide ribosomal RNA is filed under the name uncultured Methylomirabilota bacterium. Its description in RNAcentral is "bacterial SSU rRNA". It matches the Rfam family "Bacterial small subunit ribosomal RNA", at positions 364 to 832 of the family's 1533-position model. Lineage: Bacteria; Methylomirabilota (SeqCode). The record is from RNAcentral.
UUUCGCAAUGCCCGAAAGGGUGACGAAGCGACGCCGCGUGGGUGAGGAAGGCCUUCGGGUUGUAAAGCCCUGUCAGGAGUUAAGAAAUGUAAGUGCGCUAAUAUCGCAUUUAUUUGACGAAGGCUCCAAAGGAAGCCACGGCUAACUCUGUGCCAGCAGCCGCGGUAAUACAGAGGUGGCAAGCGUUGUUCGGAAUUAUUGGGCGUAAAGAGCACGUAGGUGGGUUUGUAAGUCAGAUGUGAAAGCCUUCUGUUCAACGGAAGAAUUGCAUCUGAAACUGCGAGUCUUGAGUGUAGGAGGGGAGAAUGGAACUUCUGGUGGAGCGGUGAAAUGCGUAGAUAUCAGAAGGAACGCCGGCGGCGAAAGCGAUUCUCUGGCCUAUUACUGACACUCAGUGUGCGAAAGCUAGGGGAGCAAACGGGAUUAGAUACCCCGGUAGUCCCAGCCGUAAACGAUGGGCACUAAGUAGAGGGGUUUU